RNAcentral lists this ribosomal RNA (85 nucleotides) under Thermoactinomyces intermedius. Lineage: Bacteria; Bacillati; Bacillota; Bacilli; Caryophanales; Thermoactinomycetaceae. The record is from RNAcentral.
GUUCCCAUCCCGAACACGGAAGUUAAGCCCUCCAGCGCCGAUGGUACUUGGGGAUGACCCCUGGGAGAGUAGGUCGUUGCCAGGC